Long non-coding RNA from Hippocampus zosterae (dwarf seahorse), 8140 nucleotides. RefSeq lists it as uncharacterized. Lineage: Eukaryota; Metazoa; Chordata; Actinopteri; Syngnathiformes; Syngnathidae. The transcript has 2 exons. The record is from RefSeq and is a predicted model, not a curated record.
GCGAGAACAUGCUUCAGGGGAAGAAAAACAUGCUGCUGAUCUGGGAAACGAUUAAACCUAGAUUCGUACUGACAAGUUUUCUCUUCUCCCAGAGGGAGAUGGCGCUGGGAGUAAGAGUAUAGACAGAAAUAUGAGAAAGUGGGUGGGAGAGAGGGGGAGGGAAGAAAGAGAUUAUAGCCGAGGAAAGACUGGUUAUCGUAAUUAAAUGGAAGUGUAUUUUAUCCUCAUCCAAUUGAUUUGUGCCAAGGGCAGUGUGUGUAUAACCAAAGGAAAAGGUGCUCUGCAAUUCUGGUUUGGAGCCGGCAUUGGUGUUUAUAGCAGAUGUGAAUAUUGCAGUCAACAAUCUAUUUACCGGUAGUUUGUCAUAUAACUCCGAGCCACAUUGCACAGCUGCCAGAUGCAACUGGGCUCAUGUAGGGGUUUGAGAACGCAAACACGAUGAGACGAAACACGGCGUGCAAAAAUAAAGAAAGAAUGAGAGAGAAAAGACUGAAAUUGAUUUUUUUUAAACUUUCCUCCUUCCCUUUUUGAUUCUCUUUCUAUCCGUUUUUGAUUUUAGGAAGCUAAUGUUAACCGCUGUGUCAAAUGCUUUUAGCUCCGGGCAAUGUGCAUUAAGCAUAUUUUUGCAAUUUUUGUGACCUGCGUUCUCUCUGGGGUUUUUCCCAUUAAUGGGAAUGACAUUUCAUUUAUCCCCCAUCAUUCAUCUUUCCUGGCUCUCGCCUUUCCCACCUCGCCCCCGCCCCCAGCACUCGCCUGGCCCUCUUUUUUGCUCUCUUUCUACUACUGUAUGCCCAUGCACUGUAUUUAUGAAAUUAUCUUUUCAUUUGACAAAUUAUGCUUUGACAAUAUUCUCAUGAAAGACAGAAUCGGGUAAUUUGGCACUAACUAGGCUGGAACACCCAAGUGUAAUUUUAGUAAGUGCAUCACCACAUUGACAGUUUUUACAACUGUAAAUCCCAAAGGGGCAUCUGUACUCCGACAUACAACAAAGCCAGAAAGACAUUCCGCGCACGAGACAAAUGAGUCUUUCAAGCUCCAAAAAUCUGCCAACCCUCUGACCGCCCACCCUGCAAUACACGUGAAAUUGUAACAGGUUUGGGCUGGCAACAACUCCCGUUUGGCCCUCCAUUGUGCCAAUUACAAGGAUUUUAUUGAAGUUGAAAUUAUCUCUCUUCCAAAACAUGGACUGUUUGUGUCCUUUGUUUUGUUUAUUCACAAGUGAACAAAUAAUUUACCUGGCCUUGUUUGAUGCAUCCGGUGUGAGUGCUUGUAAUUGUCUUUAUAGUUUCAGUAAAAUGUGGGACAAGAGCACCUUGACUGCUCAGCCUGGGUAUUUUCUCUGAGAGUGAGACGUUGUUGAAAUUGAUUUUUAAAGGCCCCCGGUAAGGAAGGAAUGCACAUGACUCAACAGUUGUCAAGCUGUUCACAUUUGAAGAAAAUUAACUUUUAUGAGUGUUCAAGUCAAAACCAUUGCAGGAUAAAGAGCCCCUUGGGUAGCGACAGAACCUAUCGCUUGGUUGUCGACAGAAGUGUCUGCUGUUUGUAUUUUUAUUUUAUUUUAUUUUUGUUUACAUGAAAGCGUGAGUGUGUAUUACUGGAGGUCAUUGAACACAAUCUGCUUCAAUAAGAUGGUCGAUCUGAUGUGUUGUAAUUUCGAAUAAAUAAUCCGCAUUGCAAGUUGAGCAUGAAAAAAAUAUGAUCCUCAGUGAAACCCUUUCUAAAUAACACAAGCAAAUGUUUUACAGUAAUUUCUCAAAAAUAACAUGCACUCCAACAUUAUACCACACCCCCACUACCAAAAAUCACCUUUCAAAAUAAGAUCAGAUAUCCUUUAUUUGUCCCACACUGGGGAAAUGUACAGUAUACAGCAGCAAAAUUGCGGGGAAGAAGAAGAAAAGUGUCUGCAUGCACAAAAAUAAAUGUUUCAGAGAGAGCUGUACAUAGUUCAAUUAAGUGCAAUAUAGAUAUAGAUAAGGUUGCUGUGCUAUUUACAAUUGUUAUUGGUUUUUCACGCAUUUAAUUUUUUAUUCAGUACAAAAAGCAAUUUAGUUUUUCCAUGCUCAUGUAUGACUCAAAUAUUAAAGUAGAGUCCUCAUUGUAAUUUUGAUAUAUUGGGAUUUCAUGUGCUCAGGGCACAUGGGAUGUGCAGCGUCUCCGUAGAUGACAGGGAAUUGUAAAAAUGGGGUAUGUGUGGAAAAUACCUGUACUUUUUGUCACCCGGGAAACCAACAACAGUAUUUUUUUUUUAAUCUGGUAAAAUAUGUUUGUUUCUAUUCAUUGUAAUUUAUUUGUUUGUUGACCCCAAAAAUAUGCAAAACUUUUUCAAUGAUGUCAUGAUCAAUGGGGAAGCAGCAAAAAUAUUUUUGUGGAGCCCAAGAAAGGGACUCACGGGCGAAACUGAAAAAGGUGAAAUUCAUGCUGUUAUAUAUUUUUUUUCUGAAGAGGGUAUGAUCAGCCGUUUUAUUUUCUGGUACUGCAUCAAACUAACGUUGGUGGAUUGGUUAGCGCGUUCGCCUCAGAGCGCAAGAAGUUGUGAAUUUGAAUCCAGCCACAGCCUUCCUGUGUGGAGUUUGCAUGUUCUCACCAUGCCUGCGUGGGUUUUCUUCGGGUGCUCCGGCUGCCUCCCACAUUCCAAAAACAUGCAUGUUGAUUGGACCCUCUAAAAUUGUCCGUAGGUGUGAUUGUGAGCGCGAAUGAUUGUUUGUUUAUGUGCGCUUUGCGAUUGGCCAGCAACCAGUUCAGGGUGUCCCCCCGCCUACUGCCCAAUGACGGCUGUGAUAGGUUCCAGCACGUCCGCAACACUCAUGAGGAUCAGAAGCGGAUCAGAUCAUGGAUGGAUGGAUGGAUGCACCAAAAUAAAUGUCACCUCGCUUUUAUUGUAUUCAUUCAGCAGUCAGAAUUUCCCUUCCACAUCUCUCUCUACUUUUGGCAUUGUUCUGCCUGGCUGCGUCGCAGUGAACAUCUGAUCGCAUGUACUCAGCUGUAACUGCAGCAAUCAUGACUCUCUGGAAGGGGAAAUGUUUCACCGUGCUGCCUUGUCCUUUGAUUUUGCCUGAGGAAUUAUCACGGAGGCUGAAUUUAUGAACUUUAGAGAGAUACCAUUCAAUUAUGUUGAAGGUGACCUGUGAUCCUUUCCCAUUUUGCUCCUGCAACUUCGAAGGUUGGCGGUAUCAGAUGGAAAAAGGCUAAGCCGAUACACAUGCUGCAUGGUGAUGACUGAGCAUAUCUAUUACGUGUAUGCUUAUCGUUGAUUGAUCUGCCUUGCAGACGAACUUGUUUCACGUCAUUUCCCAUCAACGUAAUCCAGUCUACUAAAUGUACUCCUGAGGGCUAGGCCCAGUAUAUUGUCAGAAAAAUAGAUCCAUGCUAGCAAUUGUUAUUCUCAAUGAAAACAGCUUUUUUUUUGUGGGGGGGGGACAUAGUUCCAGGCGUUUCAGCCGGCCAAUUGAGCUUUUCACCAUUUAGUCUCUGAUAAGGGAUAUCUAUUGUUCCUCAGCUAAAAUGCUUAUUGCACUCGGUGACUGGCUUUGGUGCCUCAAUAUUGUAAAGAGUUGGUGUCCCAGACGUUCGUGUAGAAUUGUGAAGUGAUCCACCUAAUAUAGUUCCAGAUGGCCUACACGAAGGCCAUAUCAAAUAUAGCAUCUAAAAAAACUGCUCAAUUUAAAAACUCAUGUCUCAUCCGUGACUACUUCUCAGAUUUUUAGAAAGUAAAACUAUAUGGCAAGAUACGGGUUAGCAUACAAAAUGCGAUUGACGGGUUUGUAUCUUAACCCUUUUAUGCACCCUGUAACCUGAUAACAUGAUAAGCUGUCCACUGCAGUAACCACUGACCCUCAAAGGGUUAAUUGGAACAUUUUCAUCUCGUAAAUAAAAACAGCAGUAUCCUCACCCUGAAAAUAUUGUCUUAAACAGUUUUAAGCCUGCAAGAAAGAAAACGUACACUCCUAUGGAGACAUAUAGGCUGAUAUACAUCGACUAGAAUUCACUGAGUGGCUUUUACCUUGCACAUGGACAAACAUUUGCAACCUUUUCGUUUCAUUUUUGUUUGUUUAUUGGACAUAAAACAUAUACAGUAAUAAUUUGACAGAAAGUAAGGGAAGUAAAAUAGUAAAAAGGAAAGACAAAUCAUUUACAGUAACACUUGUACAUCAUAUCAAUGGGCCAGUCUGUUAUUAUAAGCUGCAGUUGAUGCCUUUAUUUUUGACAGUAUAGUUUAGCCAUUUUACCAUUUGAAAAAAAGCUUAAAACUGUGCACUUAGCACAAAUAUGACAUUCAUAUCGGCAGAGGCGAGAAUAAUGGACAAUUAUAAAUGAUAAUAAAUUCAUACAUGUAGCCAAUAUGGCAGUUGUUGAUAAACACUUACUAGACAGUUCGGCCAAUGAUGCGUGAGGCAAUUGUGUCGGUAUUUCUGCCAGAGGAACGGUUUUUUGAAAGUGCUCAUUCUGGGUUCGGUGAACAGUUUUAGAACGGCAGUUCAUUUUUGUGCCAAGUUUCAUUAGACUUCCAACACGCCUUCAUAUGUAGUGGGGGUAAAAAAAAAGAUACUAUGGGGUAUGAAAGUAAAAACUUUUCCCAAUGGCUUUAAUGAAUCUAUACAAUAGGAAUUUAACUUUUCCACCAUAUUUUAAUUUAUUGAGAUGUUGGCAGCGACUUGCAGUUGUACAUUAUCAGAUUUGUUCAUUGAUUAUCUUUUUGGUUCGGGAGUGCCGUUAUUUCUAUAAUUGCAGACAUUAUCUUUAAGAUUCUUGAGAGCUUACUGUACUUGUGUUCUGUCUCGAAUUAAUGCAGUGUGAGAGGUAUGGGGUGGCUGGGGUUUUGCCUUUUCAUCAUACAAAUCAGUAGGCAGACGCAGAAAUGUUGCAUGAUGUGUGUGUGUGUGUGUGUGUGUGCGCAUGCGUGCGUAUAGGCUUGUGCACAGCUAAAUUAUUGCAACUGCAAAGGGCAAUCUGCAAUCAGUGCUUUGCUCAAUCUCCUCAGUUUAUGCAAUUACAAGUCUGAUGAGGUUGUGUGCGUAUGUGUGUGUGGAAAGCGUGAAGUAGAUUCCAUGUGUAGGAGUCCAUAUAUUACAGUCUGAACAGUAAGACCAUCAGGCGACUUUGUUAUUUGUUGAUCAAUUGAGCUUUUCUAAAUGGUGCAGUGCCCUACUUUUACUUCAGUUCAUCAUGAAAGUAGCGGUCUUGUUUUGUUGAGACAUCACAUCCCAAAUUGGUUAACAAUGACUCCAGGUUAAUGACUUGUGACCUCUGUUUAGCCUGCUUUAGCAUAGUGUGGUGUUUUUUUUUACCUAGAACACAAGUUUCCUAUCUGAAAAUACAUUUAGUUCCAGAAGUAUUUAGAGAAUUACUUUUAAACACCACAAUGUAUUUGUGAUAUUUAAUUGGAGAGUCAGCUUUAAUUUGGUGGCUUUACAAGAUUUUUUGCUCCUCCCUGAGCCAUCGUCUCAGGGGUUGUUUGUUUGCAACGGCCUUCACCCUUGGCGGGUUGAACUGGCUUCUUCCUCGGCACGCACGACAUCACCGAUCAUGGCGGCCCAAGCGCGGCGAUCCUGUGCAAGGUCAACCAACAGCCUCAGCCAGUCCUGGUUCCACAGUCGCAGACCCUCGACCUGGGGGCCGGAAUAGGUACGCGAGGUGUUCUUUCAUCGUGGUGGCCCAGGUCUUGACUUGUCCACCACGCCGCUUACCGCAGGCUGGCAAAGGAGCAGGAAGAAGAACUACCUUGAUCAACUCGCCCUCCUGGUGGCGUGCCGCAUGCCCAGACCAACGGAGUCGGCGUUGCAGGAGAAUCGCGGGUAAGGGACGAAGGUGCAGGCAGCGGCGAAGGGCAGCAGUAUGGACCCUGUCCGAUCGGCGGCGGCGGAGAAUACGGCAGAGGCAAUCGUUGUCGAAGACUUCCAGCUUGCGCUGGUCAGCCACUCUCAAAGGCCAAGUCUCACAGCCAUAAAGCAGCAUGGUCCGCACGAUCGCCUGGUUGACGCGCCCUUUUAUCACCGCCGAGAUCUCGCGCCGACCCCACAGAUGACGUUGUAGGCGCACAAAGGCAGAUCUGGCGGCCCCAAUGCGGUGAUCGACUGCCGCUUCUCGUUGUCCCAACGGAAACACAGAGGGGCCGAGAUACGUGAAGGAAUCGACUGCCUCCAGCGACAGCGGACGUUGGUCAGCUGGGUUGGUGAAGGAGGACAUGAUCUUGGUCUUAAAGGCAUUGAUGCGCAUCCCAAAGGUCAGGGCCGUUCGCUGGAUUUUCGUCAGUGCAUUUUCAACUUCCUCGAACGUGUUUCCAAGUAGAGCGAUAUCAUCUGCAUAUGCGAGGUCCGACACUGCGACAUCUCGGCCGACUUUCACACCCUCAAAGCCAUGGAGAGCAGUGUUGAGAAUGUGACCGAUGGCAUAGUUAAACAAGGUUGGCGAGAGCGCGCAGCCUUAUCAGACACCUGACCGCACCUCGAAGGCUUCUGAUUCGGUGCUGUGGGCCGGCACUUGGACUCGGUUUGACCGGUACUAUCCCUGGAUGAGCCGAAGCAGUUUCACAGGGAUCCCGUUAGCCUGCAUGAUCCUCCACAAAGCACCCCGGUCGACUGAAUCAAAUGCCGCGGCAAAGUCGAUGAAGCACACGACUGUCAGUUGUUGGUAGGCCCAUCGUUGCUCCAGGGUGCGACGCAGACUAAAGAUCUGGUCUACACAGAUCAGAUUGCCUUUUCGGGGGGAGCCAUCCCAAUGAUCCCAUAAGCUAAGUUGGCUGGGGCGCUAUGCCCCUGGCAGGGUGACCCUUGGGAAAUACAUUCUUAGGGAGUAGCAAAGUGUUUUUUGUCCUUGCUGUGGAACAUUGGAACUGCUCUACACCCUCAGCAGGGCCCUCGAGGAUGCAUAUGAGUUAUCCCAACCAAUCUAUAGGUUUCUAGUGGACUUGGAGAAGGGGCUCAACCUGAGGGAAUUCUAUGGGCAUUGCUUUGCGAGUAGUGGGUGCCAAACCCCCUGACACGGGUUGUUCAGUCCCCGUACGACUGAUGUCGGAGUUUGGUCCGCAUUGCUCUCAGUAAGUUGGUUUCAUUUACAGUGAAAGUUGGACUUGGCCAAGGCUGCCUUAUGUCGCUGAUUGAUGGUGAUAACCUUAAUGGACAGAAUUUUUAGAUGCAGUUGAGGCAUUGUGGGGUCCAUUUUGGUGGCCGAAGCAUUGCAUCUAUUUUUGCUGAUGUAAGUCUGACGGCUUCAUCACACCACGAUCUUCAACUCUCACUGGAGCGGUUCGGAGCACAGAGUGAUCCAAGUGGAAUGAGAAUCUUCACCUCCAAAUCUGAGACCAAAUCUGAAAAGUUUUGAGUGCCCGCUCUAGCUAGAGGAUGAGACCCUGCCCCAACUGGUUGAGUACAAGUAUCUUCGGGUCAUGCUCAUGAGUGAGUGAAGAAUGGAACAAGAGAUCAAGAGGCAGACCUACACACCAUCUGCAAUGAUGCAGACUCUGUAUCAGUCUGUUGUGGGGAAAAAGUUGAGCCGAAAGACAAAACUCUCGACUAACUGGUCGAUCUGUAUUCCAAACCUCACCUAUGGUCAUGAGCUGAGAUUUGUGGCCGAACAAGAUACCUUAUACAAGCGGCCAAAGUUACUUUUCUCUGAAGGGUGUCGGGCUCUCCCUUAGAGAUAUGUUAACUCUCGAUCUUCUUCAGAGUCAUGCCACUAAUUGUCCGUGUUGAAGUGGGCCAGAUGAGUUGGCUCGGGGAUCUGGUUGGCAUAAAAUCCUCGACGCCUCCCACCUAGAGCAGGCCCUAGGGAGGAACGACCUAGGACACGUGCACCUCUUCCUAGCUGGCUUUGGAACACCCCCCGCCCCCCACACACACACACACACACCACCACCACCACCACCACCACCCCAACACCACCAGAAGAGCUGGGUGAAGUGGCAGGGAAAGAGCAGCCUGGAUUUCCCCGCUAAAAGAUGAUGGCCCUGCAUAUUGACCUCGGAUAAAUGUAACAAAAUGGAUGUAUGGCUGGAGGAACGAAAGCUUUUCGGAAAUCCUUCCAUACAUCCAUCAAUUUUCUACCGCUCAGAAAACCACUCGGAAAUACUGUAUAUCUUAUAAAAACAGAGUACCUACAUUUAAAGGGCAUCACAUGUAUUUGGACUGAGUGACACAACUAAAUC